RNAcentral lists this ribosomal RNA (622 nucleotides) under uncultured fungus. Its description in RNAcentral is "eukaryotic LSU rRNA". It matches the Rfam family "Eukaryotic large subunit ribosomal RNA", at positions 24 to 664 of the family's 3401-position model. Lineage: Eukaryota; Fungi. The record is from RNAcentral.
CCCGCUGAACUUAAGCAUAUCAAUAAGCGGAGGAAAAGAAACCAACAGGGAUUGCCUCAGUAACGGCGAGUGAAGCGGCAAUAGCUCAAAUUUGAAAUCUGACCUUCUGGUCCGAAUUGUAAUUUGUAGAGGAUGCUUCGAACAUGGUCUGGUCUAAGUUCCUUGGAACAGGACGUCAUAGAGGGUGAGAAUCCCGUAUGUGACUAGGUGCCUAAGUUCAUGUGAAGCUCCUUCAACGAGUCGAGUUGUUUGGGAAUGCAGCUCAAAAUGGGUGGUAAAUUUCAUCUAAAGCUAAAUAUUGGCCAGAGACCGAUAGCGCACAAGUAGAGUGAUCGAAAGAUGAAGAGCACUUUGGAAAGAGAGUUAAAUAGUACGUGAAAUUGUUGAAAGGGAAGCGCUUGCAAUCAGACUUGCGUGCAGUUGAUCAUCCGAUGUUCUCACCGGUGCACUCAUCUGCAUUCAGGCCAGCAUCGGUUUUGGUGGUUGGAUAAAGGCCCUGGGAAUGUAGCUUCUUUCGGGGAGUGUUAUAGCCCAGGGUGCAAUGUGGCCUACCAGGACCGAGGACCGCGCUUCGGCUAGGAUGCUGGCGUAAUGGUUGUAAGCGACCCGUCUUGAAACACGG